RNAcentral lists this ribosomal RNA (466 nucleotides) under Capnocytophaga gingivalis. RNAcentral's name for it is "bacterial SSU rRNA". It matches the Rfam family "Bacterial small subunit ribosomal RNA", at positions 28 to 495 of the family's 1533-position model. The record is from RNAcentral. Lineage: Bacteria; Pseudomonadati; Bacteroidota; Flavobacteriia; Flavobacteriales; Flavobacteriaceae.
GAUGAACGCUAGCGGCAGGCCUAACACAUGCAAGUCGAGGGAGAAGCCCUUUCGGGGGUGGAAACCGGCGCACGGGUGCGUAACGCGUAUGCAACCUACCUUUCACAGGGGGAUAGCCCGAAGAAAUUUGGAUUAAUACCCCAUAAUAUUAUUGGAUGGCAUCAUUUGAUAAUUAAAACUGCGGUGGUGAAAGAUGGGCAUGCGUCCUAUUAGCUAGUUGGAGUGGUAACGGCACCCCAAGGCUACGAUAGGUAGGGGUCCUGAGAGGGAGAUCCCCCACACUGGUACUGAGACAGGGACCAGACUCCUACGGGAGGCAGCAGUGAGGAAUAUUGGUCAAUGGUCGGAAGACUGAACCAGCCAUGCCGCGUGCAGGAAGAAUGCCUUAUGGGUUGUAAACUGCUUUUAUAUGGGAAGAAUAAGGCGUACGUGUACGUUGAUGACGGUACCAUAUGAAUAAGCUUCG